UACAGAGGGGGCAAGCGUUAUUCGGAAUUAUUGGGCGUAAAGGGCGCGUAGGCGGCUUUGCAAGUGACGGGUGAAAUCCCUCGGCUUAACCGAGGAACUGCCUGUCAAACUGCAUGGCUUGAGACCGGGAGAGGUGAGUGGAAUUCCCAGUGUAGCGGUGAAAUGCGUAGAUAUUGGGAGGAACACCAGUGGCGAAGGCGGCUCACUGGACUGGUACUGACGCUGAUGCGCGAAAGCGUGGGGAGCAAACAGG
This 253-nucleotide ribosomal RNA is filed under the name uncultured bacterium. RNAcentral describes it as "partial 16S ribosomal RNA". It matches the Rfam family "Bacterial small subunit ribosomal RNA", at positions 524 to 776 of the family's 1533-position model. The record is from RNAcentral.